AUACGGAGGAUGCAAGCGUUAUCCGGAUUUAUUGGGUUUAAAGGGUGCGUAGGCGGUUUGCUAAGCGGGAGGUGAAAUGCCGGCGCUCAACGUCGGAAGUGCCUCCCGAACUGGUGGACUUGAAUGACUCUGCCGUGGGAGGAAUGUGUAGUGUAGCGGUGAAAUGCUUAGAGAUUACACAGAACACCGAUUGCGAAGGCAUCUAACGAAAGGUUGAGAGACGCUGAGGCACGAAAGCGUGGGGAUCAAACAGGUUUAGAUACCCUGGUAGUACACGCAGUAAACGAUGAUACCUAACCGCUGGGUCGUAGUGAUUCAGUGGCCAAGCGAAAGUGAUAAGGGAUCUCCCUGGGGAGUACGACCGCAAGGUUGAAACUCACAGGAAUUGACGGUG
This 394-nucleotide ribosomal RNA is filed under the name uncultured bacterium. RNAcentral describes it as "partial 16S ribosomal RNA". It matches the Rfam family "Bacterial small subunit ribosomal RNA", at positions 523 to 918 of the family's 1533-position model. The record is from RNAcentral.